This 75-nucleotide transfer RNA is filed under the name Corchorus olitorius. It matches the Rfam family "tRNA". Rfam says of the family: Transfer RNA (tRNA) molecules are approximately 80 nucleotides in length. Lineage: Eukaryota; Viridiplantae; Streptophyta; Magnoliopsida; Malvales; Malvaceae. The record is from Rfam by way of RNAcentral.
UGCACCGUGGAGGAGAUGGCUGUCCUCGCUGGCCUCAUAAGCCGGAGAUCGUAGGUUCGAAUCCUACCGGAGCGU